UUCUUUUUUAAAGGGAACGACGGACUAAUAAAACACUCAGGAUUGGGUUUAAAUUAAAAACUAAGACAACCGCCACUUCGACAACGUAAUUCUGAUUAAAGAAGAGCUACAGAAAACGGAGAGGAACAAUUUCAAACGCUCAAACCUCAAUAUGAUCCGCGGAUCUUCAUCGAAGGGAUUUGUCCGCACCUGCUCCUCUCUGGUGUUCACAUUGACGUUGGAAAGCUCCGUUGGGUGAGAUGAGUUUUGAAUGGUGUCACUGUCACUGCUUGGGAAUGACACUUGGACAUCACAGGAGCCACAGCUGGAGAUGAGGCACGAAACAAAUCCUCUCGUCUCAUUUGCGGCCGCCUCGUGGAAGCUGGGCCAGAGACGCUCAGGCACCUGUUGCAGCAGAGCGAGGACAGUGCACUGCACACGGCAGACGAGGCAUAACUGAAACGCCUGUUUACACGAAAUCCAGUUGUCGGGUGCGAGUGCCGCAACCGGGCGGAGUUGCAUUACAGUACAGACAAGAGCACAGGGAGCAUAGAGGAUAGGAAGUUGCGGCGGCACUGGCAGGCGGGACUCUCAGGAUGCAGCAGGUUCAAUCAGGGUUCUCACCACCUGUCACACGGUUGUCACUUUUUUUCUUUCCUCGGUAUUGUCAGAUAAGACAGAAAUAUCUUAAAAACAUAAAUCCAGUUGUCGUUUAACGGCACAGCAAGGUUUCUCACCGUGCUUCUUCUUCCAAAAAUACAAUUUGCUUGAGAUAGCAUUUAAUUUGCACAAAUAUCUUUCAAAUUAGGACACAGAUCUUAUUACGGAUUGUGUCAUUGAUGAUUCAUGAGGCAAAAAACAGUUUAGGCCUACACGUACGAUGUGUUUGCAUAUGAAUGUAGUUGCAGUGUCUUUUAAACUUUAUAAACAGAAGAAAUAUUGAUAAAUCCAUAGAAUUCGACCAAUGUAUGUUUGGAUGAGUAACAUACUUGUCUUUUUUUGCAAUAACAAAAUCCUUUCUACUGACUGUAUGUUUUCAAUUUGGAUUUGGGAAUUCAACUCAAACCUUUUGAGAGUCAAAAUUGAGGACAAAGAGCUCUUUACAGCUUCAUGGAAUUCAGCCACAAUGAAAUCAUCCAUUAGUUAUGUCCGUACACAUUUACUACAUAGUCAAAACGUCUUUAUGUGGAAAACGGGCCUGCUGACCUUGGAACAUCAAAAACCAUUGAAGGUUCCCUUUCUAGUAUUUCCCUGAUGUUUCAACCAUGUUUCACGGUCUCUUCUUUUGCUCUGAAAACGGUUAAAAGCUCCAGAAACAACUCGGGAGUAUGUCUUCUUUUUAUUGUCUAGCGUUCGUCUCCAAGAUUAUGAUUUGAACAUUCACACGAUAGAGUCACGUGACCAAAGAUUUUCUUGAGAUUCGUGGGAAUAAAGGCCUCUUACUUCGUAACGCUGCAUUAUAUUCAGUCAUUCUAAUGUAAUAUUACGGCAUUGCUGCUUUACUUUGCCGUUGCUCAACUACCUGCUUUGUCCUUUUUUGCAGUGAAUACAAUUUUUUGAAUGCAUAAAACCAAGCUCCUAUAAAUAGUGAAACCAUA
Long non-coding RNA from Scophthalmus maximus (turbot), 1577 nucleotides. RefSeq lists it as uncharacterized. The record is from RefSeq and is a predicted model, not a curated record. The transcript has 3 exons. Lineage: Eukaryota; Metazoa; Chordata; Actinopteri; Pleuronectiformes; Scophthalmidae.